UACGUAGGGGGCAAGCGUUGUCCGGCAUCAUUGGGCGUAAAGAGCGUGUAGGCGGCUUGGUAAGUCCGCUGUGAAAGUCCAGGGCUCAACCCUGGAAUGCCGGUGGAAACUGUCAAGCUUGAGUCCGGAAGAGGCGAGUGGAAUUCCUGGUGUAGCGGUGAAAUGCGCAGAUAUCAGGAGGAACACCAAUGGCGAAGGCAGCUCGCUGGGACGGUACUGACGCUGAGACGCGAAAGCGUGGGAAGCGAGCCGG
RNAcentral lists this ribosomal RNA (253 nucleotides) under uncultured bacterium. Its description in RNAcentral is "partial 16S ribosomal RNA". It matches the Rfam family "Bacterial small subunit ribosomal RNA", at positions 524 to 776 of the family's 1533-position model. The record is from RNAcentral.